AAUAUCAAAGGGCAAACCGGUGGAAAUGCCGGGACGCAAAAACAUAGGACCUAAGCUGAGCAUACAGUAUGGUAGCCGAUUGCACUG
RNAcentral lists this non-coding RNA (87 nucleotides) under Hespellia stercorisuis. Its description in RNAcentral is "c-di-GMP sequence". It matches the Rfam family "c-di-GMP-I riboswitch aptamer". From Rfam's summary of the family: GEMM was predicted in a large-scale screen for bacterial structured RNA regulatory elements. Genes associated with GEMM are involved in a diverse array of functions, including chemotaxis regulation, signal transduction, secretion and chitin. Lineage: Bacteria; Bacillati; Bacillota; Clostridia; Lachnospirales; Lachnospiraceae. The record is from RNAcentral. RNAcentral also lists the same sequence under 1 other name.